CUUGCUCCCUGAUGUUAGCGGCGGACGGGUGAGUAACACGUGGGUAACCUGCCUGUAAGACUGGGAUAACUCCGGGAAACCGGGGCUAAUACCGGAUGCUUGAUUGAACCGCAUGGUUCAAUUAUAAAAGGUGGCUUUUAGCUACCACUUACAGAUGGACCCGCGGCGCAUUAGCUAGUUGGUGAGGUAACGGCUCACCAAGGCAACGAUGCGUAGCCGACCUGAGAGGGUGAUCGGCCACACUGGGACUGAGACACGGCCCAGACUCCUACGGGAGGCAGCAGUAGGGAAUCUUCCGCAAUGGACGAAAGUCUGACGGAGCAACGCCGCGUGAGUGAUGAAGGUUUUCGGAUCGUAAAACUCUGUUGUUAGGGAAGAACAAGUACCGUUCGAAUAGGGCGGUACCUUGACGGUACCUAACCAGAAAGCCACGGCUAACUACGUGCCAGCAGCCGCGGUAAUACGUAGGUGGCAAGCGUUGUCCGGAAUUAUUGGGCGUAAAGCGCGCGCAGGCGGUUUCUUAAGUCUGAUGUGAAAGCCCCCGGCUCAACCGGGGAGGGUCAUUGGAAACUGGGGAACUUGAGUGCAGAAGAGGAGAGU
This 600-nucleotide ribosomal RNA is filed under the name Bacillus sp. (in: firmicutes). Its description in RNAcentral is "bacterial SSU rRNA". It matches the Rfam family "Bacterial small subunit ribosomal RNA", at positions 79 to 662 of the family's 1533-position model. Lineage: Bacteria; Bacillati; Bacillota; Bacilli; Caryophanales; Bacillaceae. The record is from RNAcentral.